UGUCUGAAGCACCAGUAAACGUCCGCGGUAACUAUAACCGUGUUAAUGUAGCGAAAUUCCUUGUCUGGUAAGUUCAGACCCGCAUGAAAGGCGUAACGACUGGGGGACUGUCUCAACGAGGAGCCCGGUGAAAANNNNNNNNNNNNNNNNNNNNNNNNNNNNNNNNNNNNNNNNNNNNNNNNNNNNNNNNNNNNNNNNAGAGUGGUAUUGAAUUAUGGGUUUAGAUGCGUAGCGUAGCCGGGAGGCUUUGAAGCCCCAUUUUCGGAUGGGGUGGAGCCGCCAAUGAAACACCGGCCUUCUGGGUCUAUAAUUCUAACUCCCCGCGUAAAAGCGGGGGAGACAGUGCCACUUGGGUAGUUUAAGUGGGGCGCUUGCCUCCUAAAGAGUAGCGGAGGCGCUUAUAAGGUUGGCUAGGGCCGGAUGGAAACCGGUCUGAUAGCGUAAAGGCAUAAGCCAGCUUUACUGCAAGACGUACAUGUCGCGCUCAUAAAUUUUAAUUUAUGACGGCGUAUUUUUUAAUUAAGAUGCGUUGAGUUGCGAAAGCAGAACUUAGUGAACCGACCGCUCUUCGUAGAAAGGCGGAAGAUCAUCAGACAAAAGCUACCCCGGGGAUAACAGGCUGGUCGUGCCCAAGAGUCCAUAUCGACGGCACGGUUCGGCACCUCGAUGUCGGCUCAUCACAUCCUGGAGGGGGAGCACCUUCCAAGGGUAUGGCUGUUCGCCAUUUAAAGUGGUACGUGAGCUGGGUUCAAACCGUCAACCAAAACUUGUUGCUGUUAAACAAGUUUGGCGGCUCCCGAUAGCAAUAUCGGGAUGCAAAAACUGACUCAUAUCGGUGAAAUCCUAGUAGACAUUCAACCUGUCGUAUGCUAGGAUAAUACCGAGGGAAGUUUUAAAUUAUUUUGCGAUGAAAAAGUUGUCUAGUGCUAGAUUAUCUUAUAUAGCCGGAUUCCUUGAUGGAGACGGAAGUGUGUAUAUCAAGCUGACAAAAAAUAAAACUUAUCGGUUUAAAUAUCAGGUAAGUUCUUAUAUUGUUUUUUAUCAAAGUAGUAUUAAUAUACAAUUUCUUCAAAAUCUUCAAAAAGAAUUAAGUAUUGGCUAUGUAAGAAAAAGAAAUGAUGGAGUUUCGGAGUUUAUUAUAGGCGACGAGAAAUCUCAAUUAGAAUUAAUUGAGAAAAUAUUGCCCUACACGAAACUUAAACUGGAGCAGCUUCAAUUGAUGAAGAAAAUAUUGCGUAAAAAGAAAUUUGUGAAAUGCGCAGAUGGCUUUCUGAAGCUUUGUGGACUAAUUGAUGGAUAUAAAAAUCUCAAUUAUUCUAAAAAGCGAUCUCAAAAUAGUAUUGAGGUUAGAAAAGUAUUGGUGCAAAAUAAUUUAAUAACCCCGUAGAGACUGUGGAAAUAUUACUAGUAUUUCCCGAUUCAAUCGUAAAUGGUUGGAUAAAACGUCAGUACUCCAAUUGAAUUGGAGUGUGGUAUAGUCCAUGCCAUUGGCAACAAUGGAAAAUUACGAGAAUUUCGUAAAUACAUGCGUGAGACAGGUUGGUCUCCUAUCUGCCGCAGGCGUUAGAAGUUUGAGGGAAGUCUUUCCUAGUACGAGAGGACCGGAAAGAACGAACCUCUGGUCUACCAGUUGUCCUGCCAAGGGCAUUGCUGGGUAGCUAAGUUCGGACGGGAUAAGCGCUGAAAGCAUAUAAGCGCGAAGCCUCUCCCGAGAUUAGACUUCAUAGAUUCCUUGUAGAUGACAAGGUUGAUAGGCCAUAGGUGGAAGCGCAGCAAUGCGUGAAGCCGAGUGGUACUAAUAAAU
RNAcentral lists this ribosomal RNA (1804 nucleotides) under Candidatus Portnoybacteria bacterium CG_4_9_14_3_um_filter_44_9. Its description in RNAcentral is "bacterial LSU rRNA". It matches the Rfam family "Bacterial large subunit ribosomal RNA", at positions 1909 to 2909 of the family's 2925-position model. Lineage: Bacteria; Candidatus Portnoyibacteriota. The record is from RNAcentral.